Long non-coding RNA from Paramormyrops kingsleyae, 841 nucleotides. RefSeq lists it as uncharacterized. The record is from RefSeq and is a predicted model, not a curated record. NCBI's taxonomy places the organism in Eukaryota, Metazoa, Chordata, Actinopteri, Osteoglossiformes, Mormyridae.
UUUUUUUUGAGGCGGCUGCUUGCUGAAGUUUGCGGCGGAUUUGGCACUUGAAAAUUCGGCGUUUUUCUUUCUUUGUGCUGCUAUUGUAAGUGCCAACAGAACGAAAUUUAUUUUGGUCGAUUGAUUGCGCGAAGAUUUCGUGUAAUGAGCCUGGAAGAGUUUGGUUGGAACCUGGACUGGCGUGAGCUGUGAUCAUCGUAGUAACCGGAUUGGCACAGGAAGGACCAGAUCCCACCAGGGCGGCAUGCAGGAAGCCAGGCACCGCCACUGACUCCGGGCGGCGUAUUCUGCAUGAGCACCUUGCAAUUGGUCCGGCGUGGCCAGCAUUACCAAGGAAAACCACAGGGGGAGUCACUCAGCAGUGUGGAAGAAUGGACAGAAGACGAGGUCUGGAACUGCUCCAAAGGUCAAACCUCCCACCUCCCAAUCAUGUAGCCCAUGUGACACAAGCAGGUGGCGCCUGUCCCAGAACCAACAGAGAGGUUUCUGCUGCUGGCUUAAAACUUUGCUUCAAUUUGUAAAACAAACAGAGAUGGUCAGGAGAAGAGCCCAAGCCAGCAGGGCGUGGGUGUGAAGGACAGAGGUCUGGGGGCUGACAGCAGUACGGCUCCCAUCUUGCCUGGCAUAGGACUUUGUGAAGAGGUUCUCGAAGCAUCCCAUGGUGGCAUACACAUCCUGGCACACGGACACACCCCAAGUUAAGGACGUCCCGACUUGUUUAAAGCAGCACAGCAAAAGGACAUUGGCAGUCUAGGAGAGGAAGCUCACUGCUUGUCUGGCUUGAAGGCUGGCAGUUCCAUCGCUGAGGAUGCUCUUGAAGACCGGCUUCAGAGUCUUGAAC